CAAACAAAUACUUACAUACAGGCAUUAAAGGAGAUUAUGUCUUUGUACCUUACUCAGGGUCUACACCCUAUACAGGGUCAUACCAUAUUACUAUACCCUGCACAGGGUCAUACUAUAUUACUAUACCCUACAGGAAUCACCCGAUCACCGCGCCCUGCAUCUGGAUUAACCCCUUCAGGGGUCCCCCUCUCUGGGCACAUUCAUUUAUUG
This is a non-coding RNA of Pelobates cultripes (western spadefoot toad), 210 nucleotides long. NCBI's taxonomy places the organism in Eukaryota, Metazoa, Chordata, Amphibia, Anura, Pelobatidae. The record is from the annotation of a GenBank genome assembly.